This 610-nucleotide small RNA is filed under the name Pan troglodytes (chimpanzee). Its description in RNAcentral is "retained intron". The record is from RNAcentral. Lineage: Eukaryota; Metazoa; Chordata; Mammalia; Primates; Hominidae.
AAGAUCGAGACCAUUCUGGCCAACAUGGUGAAACCCCAUCUCUACUAAAAUAGAAAAAUCAGCCGGGCGUGAUGGCAUGUACCUGUAGUCCCAGCUACUCGGGAGGCUGAGGCAGGAGAAUCGCUUGAACCCGGGAGGUGGAGGUUGCAGUGAGCCAAGAUCGCGCCACUGCACUCCAGCCUGGUGACAGAGUGAGACUCCGUCUCAAAAAAAAAAAAAAAAUAAUAAUAAUAAUAAAGGCAAGGGGUUUUCCAUACGCACAUACAUACAUAUACGCACGUAUAUGUUUUUCCUCCCACAGACCUACUCAGGCCUCUUCUGUGUCACUGUCAACCCCUACAAGUGGCUGCCGGUGUACAACCCCGAGGUGGUGGAAGGCUACCGAGGCAAAAAGCGCCAGGAGGCCCCACCCCACAUCUUCUCCAUCUCUGACAACGCCUAUCAGUUCAUGCUGACUGAUCGUGAAAACCAGUCCAUUCUGAUCACCGGAGAAUCCGGGGCAGGAAAGACUGUGAACACCAAACGGGUCAUCCAGUACUUUGCAACAAUUGCAGCUACUGGGGACCUGGCCAAGAAGAAGGACUCCAAAAUGAAGGGGACUCUGGAAGAU